AGAACUCCGCAGUUAAGCGUGCUU
Molecule: non-coding RNA, 24 nt
Filed under: Arabidopsis thaliana (thale cress)
Lineage: Eukaryota; Viridiplantae; Streptophyta; Magnoliopsida; Brassicales; Brassicaceae
Source: RNAcentral